GUCUCAGUAGCAUAGUGGUUACUGGACAGCCCCGGAAAGGUUGAGACGCGGGCUCGAUUCCCGCCUGAGAUG
Molecule: non-coding RNA, 72 nt
Organism: Nippostrongylus brasiliensis
Lineage: Eukaryota; Metazoa; Nematoda; Chromadorea; Rhabditida; Heligmosomidae
Source: Rfam